UACGUAGGGUGCGAGCGUUAAUCGGAAUUACUGGGCGUAAAGUGUGCGCAGGCGGCUUCGCAAGUCGAGUGUGAAAGCCCCGAGCUUAACUUGGGAAUUGCGCUCGAAACUACGUGGCUGGAGUGUGGCAGAGGAAGGUGGAAUUCCAGGUGUAGCGGUGAAAUGCGUAGAGAUCUGGAGGAACACCGAUGGCGAAGGCAGCCUUCUGGGCCAACACUGACGCUCAUGCACGAAAGCGUGGGGAGCAAACAGG
This 253-nucleotide ribosomal RNA is filed under the name uncultured bacterium. Its description in RNAcentral is "partial 16S ribosomal RNA". It matches the Rfam family "Bacterial small subunit ribosomal RNA", at positions 524 to 776 of the family's 1533-position model. The record is from RNAcentral.